AUUAGCGAUUCCGACUGUGUCAAGAGGAAUUGCAGCAAAUACGCCUUUGGAGGCUACGUGACGGACAAGAUGAAAUUUCGCGAUACACACUGGAUUACCCUAGAAAUCGGAUACGAUUAACUCUUGGUAUUUCGACUGCCCCAUAAUCCAUUCCGGAUUACACGGACACGAAGCUAACCUGAGAUACUGAGGCAAUCGCUUGGUCUGGCGCGAUUGAAUCGCGAGAUCGCAGCAAAUUGAAAAGACGCGAGGAACGAGG
RNAcentral lists this unclassified non-coding RNA (259 nucleotides) under Bombus terrestris (buff-tailed bumblebee). RNAcentral's name for it is "misc RNA ENSBTSG00005034557.1". The record is from RNAcentral. Lineage: Eukaryota; Metazoa; Arthropoda; Insecta; Hymenoptera; Apidae.